UCUGGAAAGCCCCGCCUCUACUUCUCCCGGCCCCUCCCUCCACAGCCUGGAGAACACACACACUUCCAACCGGCAGGCAGACACACACAGCCUUCGGACCCCAGCCCGCCCCCAUCUCCCCCCAGCCCAGUGCAGCGUGGGAAACGUAGGCUGUACAGCGCUGUGCCAGGGAGGACGUUCAUCGCUACACGGUCUCACACACCGCAGGGUCCCGGGGAGAUCAGCCUGCAUCGGGGGGAGAGGGUCAAAGUGCUGAGUAUAGGAGAAGGAGGGUUCUGGGAGGGUUCUGUUAAAGGACGGACCGGAUGGUUUCCUGCUGACUGUGUUGAAGAGGUCCAGAUGAGACAGUACGACCCACGCCUAGAAACACGAGAGGAUCGAACCAAGAGGCUUUUCAGACAUUACACCGUGGGUUCCUAUGACAACUACACCUCUUACAGUGAUUAUGUCAUCGAGGAGAAGAGUUCUGUGCUACAGAAGAGAGACAGUGAAGGAUUUGGCUUCGUCCUCCGUGGAGCCAAAGCGGAGACCCCUAUAGAGGAGUUUGCCCCUACCCCAGCGUUCCCGGCGCUGCAGUACCUGGAGUCUGUUGACUUGGAGGGCGUGGCCUGGAGGGCGGGGCUACGCACUGGGGACUUCCUCAUUGAGGUGAAUGGCAGUGAUGUGGUGAAGGUGGGCCAUAGACAGGUGGUGUCGCUGAUCCGUCAGGGAGGAAGUCAGCUGCUGAUGAAGGUUGUUUCAGUCACACGCAAACCUGAGUCCGACUUAGUCCGUAAGAAAGCUCCUCCUCCGCCUAAGAGAGCACCCAGCACGUCGCUCACACUGCGCUCCAAAUCUAUGACUGCUGAACUGGAAGAGAUAGUGUUGGGUUGGAAUUCUAUAAUUGUAUCAUAUCAUUCUAUCAUCUAG
RNAcentral lists this long non-coding RNA (909 nucleotides) under Salmo salar (Atlantic salmon). RNAcentral's name for it is "lncRNA (ENSSSAG00000114225.1)". The record is from RNAcentral. Lineage: Eukaryota; Metazoa; Chordata; Actinopteri; Salmoniformes; Salmonidae.